AUUCUAAUUCUUGUUUGCAUUUUCAUAUCCCGACCUGAUGAUAACUCAACAUUGACGAUCAUCGAUGGAUCAUUUCCAAUCAAUGACUAUUGAAUAAACGGAAUCCUAAAUAUUCUUGAUAACAUUGAUUCUAAUUCUUGUUUGCAUUUUCAUAUCCCGACCUGAUGAUAACUCAACAUUGACGAUCAUCGAUGGAUCAUUUCCAAUCAAUGACAAUUGAAUAAACGAUCAUCGAUGGAUCAUCCC
Molecule: long non-coding RNA, 246 nt
Organism: Dermatophagoides pteronyssinus (European house dust mite)
Lineage: Eukaryota; Metazoa; Arthropoda; Arachnida; Sarcoptiformes; Pyroglyphidae
Source: RefSeq, a predicted model, not a curated record